UCACUGAUAACUGAUGGUGUUCCUGGAAAAGAUCAUCCUAGCAAAGGACAGCAUCCCACAAGUACUAGUUCUACACUUAACAAACACGAUGGCAGAAGAGCAAAUCCAUCUGGACAGGUCACAACACCAAAAACAGCUUCACAGCCGAGAUCAGCCCAAAUACCAGAAUGGCUGAUCAUAGUGGCUUCUCUUCUGGCGCUGACAUUGAUUCUGGCAGUCUGCAUUGCUGUCAACAGUCGGAGCAGGUAAGGAAGCCCAUUUCUAGCUUUGGAUAGAGGAGGUCAUUGUUGGAGAACGUGCUGCCUUGAUGUCUUUAUUGUUGAGAGAUCUAUGAAGCUUCUGGUAGCUUUGGAAAAGCACAGAGAAGAGUUUCUGCCACAGUGGCAAUCUCUGUGAAC
Molecule: long non-coding RNA, 398 nt
Filed under: Terrapene triunguis (Three-toed box turtle)
Lineage: Eukaryota; Metazoa; Chordata; Testudines; Emydidae
Description: Terrapene carolina triunguis (Three-toed box turtle) lncRNA (ENSTMTG00000008797.1)
Source: RNAcentral